RNAcentral lists this ribosomal RNA (498 nucleotides) under Triticum aestivum (bread wheat). RNAcentral describes it as "partial small subunit ribosomal RNA". The record is from RNAcentral. Lineage: Eukaryota; Viridiplantae; Streptophyta; Magnoliopsida; Poales; Poaceae.
AUGGCGGAGGAACCGUCCGCCAAGCGUCAUCAUGCCGGGACGUCGGACAAGAGGAGCAACCUCGUCGACAUUAACGUCCCCGGCGAGAAGCGCGAGUACACCAGAACGCUCAAAGGGGUUGAGCUCCACGGCAAGGAGACGCUGGAGAUCGUCUGCACCAGCGAACCAGACAAGGCCGACGAGAUGAUGAGCAGGCCCAAGCGCCUCAAAGACUUCCUGCGGGAGGAGAAAUUGUACACAUUUGUUGGUUUCAGCAUUGGAGGUGACAAGCGGAUGCUGCAGGAGUCUGGUUUGGAAAUCAACCCCAACAACUUCAUCGACAUGCAGCGCAAGUGGAAAGAUCCAAAGACCAGAAAAUACUACGACUCCUUGGUCGAUGUUGCAGGCGGCGUCAUCCACCCAUUCUACGAAGGCAUGAAGAAGAAGAUGAACAGGGUAGACCACAAACUGUGGGGAACAGCCCGCUGCCAAACAACCUCAUCACGUACGCAGGAAUAG